RNAcentral lists this ribosomal RNA (497 nucleotides) under uncultured bacterium. Its description in RNAcentral is "partial 16S ribosomal RNA". It matches the Rfam family "Bacterial small subunit ribosomal RNA", at positions 28 to 507 of the family's 1533-position model. The record is from RNAcentral.
GAUGAACGCUGGCGGCGUGCCUAAUACAUGCAAGUCGAGCGACCAGACAAUGAGCUUGCGCCUCUGACGUUAGCGACGGACGGGUGAGUAACACGUGGAUAACCAACCUAUAAUUCUGGGAUAAUUUCGGGAAACCGGAUCCAAUACUGGAGAAUAUAUUGAACCGCAGGGUGCAAUAGAUAAAGACGGCUUUGCUGACACAUUUAGCUGGAGCCGGGCUGCAUUAGUGAGUUGGUAAGGUAACGGCCUACCAAGGCAACGAUGCGUAGCCGACCUGAGGGGAUGAUCGGCCACACUGGAACUGAGACACGGUCCAGACUCCUACGGGAGGCAGCAGUAGGGAAUCUUCCGCAAAGGGCGCAAGCCUGACCCAGCCACACCGCGUGAGUGAUGAAGGUCUUCGGAUCGUAAAGCUCUGUUAUUAGGGAAGAAAAAAUGUAUAAGUAACUAUGCACGUCUUGACGGUACCUAAUCAGAAAGCAACGGCUAACUACGUG